GAGGUUGUAGCUCAGUGGUAGACUGCUUGCCCAGUAUGUAUGAGGUACAGAGUUCAAUGCACAGCACCACA
Molecule: transfer RNA, 71 nt
Filed under: Marmota monax (woodchuck)
Lineage: Eukaryota; Metazoa; Chordata; Mammalia; Rodentia; Sciuridae
Description: tRNA.Thr
Source: RNAcentral